CUACGGGGGGCUGCAGUGGGGAAUAUUGGACAAUGGGCGCAAGCCUGAUCCAGCAAUACCGCGUGUGUGAAGAAGGCCUGCGGGUUGUAAAGCACUUUCAAUUGGGAAGAAAAGCCUGAGGCUAAUAUCCUCGGGUCUUGACGUUACCUUUAGAAGAAGCACCGGCUAACUCCGUGCCAGGCAGCCGCGGUAAUACGGAGGGUGCGAGCGUUAAUCGGAAUUACUGGGCGUAAAGCGCGCGUAGGCGGCUUGUUAAGUCAGAUGUGAAAGCCCCGGGAUCAACCUGGGAACUGCAUUUGAUACUGGCAGGCUAGAGUGUGGUAGAGGGAAGUGGAAUUCCAGGUGUAGCGGUGAAAUGCGUAGAUAUCUGGAGGAACAUCAGUGGCGAAGGCGACUUCCUGGACCAACACUGACGCUGAGGUGCGAAAGCGUGGGUAGCAAACAGGAUUAGAUACCCUUGUAGUC
RNAcentral lists this ribosomal RNA (465 nucleotides) under uncultured bacterium. RNAcentral's name for it is "partial 16S ribosomal RNA". It matches the Rfam family "Bacterial small subunit ribosomal RNA", at positions 339 to 795 of the family's 1533-position model. The record is from RNAcentral.